Molecule: ribosomal RNA, 450 nt
Filed under: uncultured bacterium
Lineage: Bacteria
Description: partial 16S ribosomal RNA
Rfam family: Bacterial small subunit ribosomal RNA
Source: RNAcentral
GUGGGGAAUAUUGCGCAAUGGGCGAAAGCCUGACGCAGCGACGCCGCGUGAGGGAUGAAGGUUUUCGGAUCGUAAACCUCUGUCAGAAGGGAAGAAACUACAUUGUGCUAAUCAGCAGUGUACUGACGGUACCUUCAAAGGAAGCACCGGCUAACUCCGUGCCAGCAGCCGCGGUAAUACGGAGGGUGCAAGCGUUAAUCGGAAUUACUGGGCGUAAAGCGCACGUAGGCUGUAGUGUAAGUCAGGGGUGAAAUCCCACGGCUCAACCGUGGAACUGCCUUUGAUACUGCACAACUUGAAUCCGGGAGAGGGUGGCGGAAUUCCAGGUGUAGGAGUGAAAUCCGUAGAUAUCUGGAGGAACAUCAGUGGCGAAGGCGACACCCUGGACCGAUACUGACACUGAGGUGCGAAAGCGUGGGUAGCGAACAGGAUUAGAAACCCUUGUAGUCC